This 396-nucleotide transfer-messenger RNA is filed under the name Pseudomonas kilonensis. It matches the Rfam family "transfer-messenger RNA". From Rfam's summary of the family: Bacterial tmRNA, also known as 10Sa RNA or SsrA, is named for its dual tRNA and mRNA-like properties. Its role is to liberate the mRNA from a stalled ribosome. To accomplish this part of the tmRNA is used as a reading frame that ends in a translation stop signal. The record is from RNAcentral. Lineage: Bacteria; Pseudomonadati; Pseudomonadota; Gammaproteobacteria; Pseudomonadales; Pseudomonadaceae. RNAcentral also lists the same sequence under 7 other names.
GGGGCCGUUUAGGAUUCGACGCCGGUUGCGAAACUUUAGGUGCAUGCCGAGUUGGUAACAGAACUCGUAAAUCCACUGUUGCAACUUCUAUAGUUGCCAAUGACGAAAACUACGGCCAGGAAUUCGCUAUCGCUGCGUAAGCAGCCUUAGACCUGAGCUUCUGGUACCUUCGGGUCCAGCAAUCAUUAGGGGAUGUCCGUAAACCCAAAGUGAUUGUCAUAUAGAACGGAAUCGCCGUGCAGUACGUUGUGGACGAAUCGGCUAAAACUUACACAACUCGCCCAAAGCACCCUGCCCGUCGGGUCGCUGAGGGUUAACUUAAUAGACACGGCUACGCAUGUAGUACCGACAGCGGAGUACUGGCGGACGGGGGUUCAAAUCCCCCCGGCUCCACCA